This is a long non-coding RNA of Rhododendron vialii, 3030 nucleotides long. RefSeq lists it as uncharacterized. NCBI's taxonomy places the organism in Eukaryota, Viridiplantae, Streptophyta, Magnoliopsida, Ericales, Ericaceae. The record is from RefSeq and is a predicted model, not a curated record. The transcript is spliced from 5 exons.
GUCCUGCUAUAGAGAACUGAAGAAGGGUAUUGAUUUUUUGCUGUGGUUUAAGCCAGCAAACUACUGCACAGAUCUUUGACGUGCUUGAGUGCAAUUUCAUUUGAAAUCUCUCAAUCAGGUGCUGUCUACAUUCAUUUGAAAAAGGAAAAUAGUGGAAAAUUGGCUUCAUUUGUUACUACUUUUCAUUGACAAUUGAAUAUUCUUUUCACAUGAUUGUAAAUAGCUAGAUAGGCCCGUAGUUUUGAACUGAUGCCUCAAUGAAGGCCACAUCUCCCUAAUCUGUGGUUUGGCCAGUUUUAAUAGAUCGAUUGAUUUCACUUUACUUUCUUUGGCGGUCUUUUGAGUUGAAAACAUGUGUGGGACUCCGUCUUGAACACUGCAUGCAAUUUGGUAUUUCCAUCACAUUUUUGUCAAUAUGCUGAAUUUCAAAUUCGAAACCAAAUGAAUGCAGCAGAAAACAUCUAUCUAUUGAGCCAUGCAGUUCUUCAGUCUAUUGAACUUCCCCUUAACAUAUAUGUAUAUAUUUAUUUAUGUUUACAUACGCACAUAGUGAUUGUCCGGGAAACUAGGGAAAGCUGUUAGCGUUCUUGUGGCAGACAAGAACAAGAUAGAAGGGUAGCAGAAUAACAUUUUAGAUACGGCUGCAAACAAACCGUGCAGCUCGAGGCUUGGCUCGUUAUGGGCUCGACUAGGGUCGACUAGUUUAGCAAUCGGGCCGAGCUUGAGUUUUAGGCUCGUCUUUGUUUGUACAGGCUCCCCUCGAUUACAGAGGGUCGUUUAGUAAAUGAACCAGGCUUGGCUCAUUAAGUGCUCGUUUUUGAGCUCGAACUCGAGUUUUAGGCUCGUUAGUUAACGAGCCGAGCUCGAAAACUACAAUGCUCUGCUCAUUUGCACCCUCAAUUCCAGAGCGUGUCCCACCACAGUUAAUUAUGACUUCCAACCCUAGAAUAUGAGUCUGGUGAUAUGUCCAUUGAUUGUCAAUUGGUUUUGAUUUAGAUGCUAUUAUGAUAUCAAAGCAAGGCUUUUAAGAAAGACUCUAUAGAUUGAUUUUUCCAUUGUUUGUGUCAUUACUCAUAAAAGCUCUUUCUUUCAUUGAGACCCAUGAAUCCUUUGUUUACCUCGCCAAUUUAAUUCGAGGGUCGCACAUAGGAGUGAUAAGGUGUUCCCACAUCGGUUAGUAAUCACUUCUAGUCCACAGUCCUAGAGAAAGGUGUGAGAAACCAUUUAAGCCCCCUAAUUGGGGAGCCUCAAGGCUAUUGAAUAGGGGCAAUUUUGACUUUUCGCUGCUAAAAUGGGUACUGUUAUUUUACUUAAAUUGGUUUCCGGACUUUGCCUUUUUCCCUUUGUGUCCCAUUAGCCAGUGCAAUUUCGGCCCAUUUUGUCGUCUGCCUCUGACGAAAGCCUGCAACGCAUUUCUUUGUCCCUAUUUUUUCUGUGGGUUACUGAGAGAGAGAGAGAGAGAGAGAGAGAGAGAGAGAUUGAUUGUGUGUUCAACAAGUGGAUGUCAAAGAUUCGGUUUGGCUUCUCCGGUCAGUGCAUUAAGAUUUUGGAUGAUCCAUCACCAUCGCCCUCCGAUCAUGUUUUUUCACCUAAGUUAUGUUCAUUUAUUGAUGCUUGCCUGAACAAGGAUGCAGAUUCAAGGCCAAUGGCUGGGCAGGAUGUUUGAAUUUGAGGUUUGUAUUGUUCCAUUGAUCCUGCCAUUUUGCCUUCACCUGUGUUUGGAAUGAUUAAUGCACUCUCUAAUUAUCAAGAACAUUGAGAGAAAAGGUUGGAUCCAUAUAUUAGAAUUGAUAAUGGGUUCACAUUUUGCCUUCACUGAUGUUUGGAAUUGUUCAUCAAGUUGUUAUAUAUCUGUGGGACAUGUAAAGAUCAGACAUGCGCUUGGGUACCUACGGAGCAGUAAAUGUUGGAGGAGGUUAUAUUAAUUGAGCUGAAUAUAUGGAAGACUUCCCCGUUUGAUGAGGAAAGCUGAGAUGAAAGUUAGAAGUGCAUAGAAUGGGAAAACUUUCUUGGAGUCUAUCUCCGGCUAAUUGUUAUCGGUGUCUAAUAGCACUUGUGGAAUAUAUUUCUGCAGGUUAACUUUCUGUGAUCUCAAGUAGAUGCAAAUCUUUUAGCGUUUUUUUCCUCCUAUAUAAAAAGAGCCAGUGCUUCGCUUACCAAUUUUUCAAGUUGGGACGAAUGUGCCCCUCAAUUGCAGCCCUCCUGCACUGCUGCUUGUGCCCACAAUAGUAAUUUCCCCCUUGCGCAAGUGUGGCAAUCUUUGCACUUGACACUCACCUCUCUCGACCUUCCACAUCUAGGACCUUUCACAUCCUUCCUUCCCUCCUCUCCAUUUCGAUCCUCCCUUCUCUCUCUCUCUCCCUCUCUCUCCCCCCCCCCCCCCCCCCCCGAUCGUGUAUCCUCUCUCUCUCUCUCGAUCUUUGCCUCUCUCCUGACCUUCGAUUCCAUGGCCACGAUGGCAAUGAUGAAGAAGACAAAGAGGAUGGCAUUGAAGAAGGCAAAGGACAGAUUGAGUUUGAACAGUCAGUAGAUGCUUCUUUUCAGCCAUGAAGUUUAAGAGAUGAGCUCGGGAAAUAAAGAGAGAAACCCAGUUCUUGUACAGGUAUGGUGAUGGAUUCAAGCUCAUGAAUCACAACAAUAACAUUAACAUAUGCAAAAUAAAGAGAGAGAUUGCCAUUUUGGCACCUUGAAGCUCCUCAAACAUCCAAACGUCGUCAGAUUAUACAAUGUGCGCUUCAAUUUAGUGUUUAAUUUUAUUUGCUCUCUGCAAAUACUUGAUCAUAUUUCUUUGUUUUUUUGUAAGGUUAAUUUAUUGAAACACCAAAACUAGGUACAAGAUCACUGGGGCAGAAGCAACAAAUAAACCAAAACAUUGAGCAUAUUUGUUGUUUUGUUUCUCGGAAAAUUUGAGUAUAUUUCUUUAUUUGGUUUGGUAGAGUAGCAAAACUACUUGUAAAUGCCAAUAAAAAAAUGAUUUUGUUGGCUGUUGUUCUUUUGCUAUAUGGUUGGGAUCUCAACUGAUUUCAUGGC